GUGCUCUCCUCAGCAGCACAUAUACUAAAAUGGGAAUGAUGGAGAAGACUAGCAUGGCCCCUGCACAAAGAUGACAUGCAAAUCUGUGAGGCAUUCCAAUAAAAA
Molecule: small nuclear RNA, 105 nt
Filed under: Carlito syrichta (Philippine tarsier)
Lineage: Eukaryota; Metazoa; Chordata; Mammalia; Primates; Tarsiidae
Source: RNAcentral